CAUUGCGAAAAGUCAUGCGACCUGCACACUUUGAGAAGCAUUACUCUUUGAACGCACCUUGCACGUGGAGGUUACUCUACGAGGUCCUGUUUGAGCAAGAUAACGAAAGUGACACAUGAUCAUUUCACACUCGAGAUGAUUCAAAAACAUGCGGUUAGCCUGAACGACUCUAGGGCAAAGGAUUAGAACGUAGCUGGUUCUUCAGUGCGACAAGUAACACUGCAACACCAACAAACCCUAACCACACUGCAAGACCAUGCUCUGUUACUCAACCAGCAAAGCAUAACUAACCCUUACACUUCUCAAAUCAGGAUAGAGGACCCGCUGAACUUAA
RNAcentral lists this unclassified non-coding RNA (334 nucleotides) under uncultured Blastocladiomycota. RNAcentral describes it as "sequence contains ITS1". Lineage: Eukaryota; Fungi; Blastocladiomycota. The record is from RNAcentral.